GUGUCAGCAGCCGCGGUAAGACGAACCGUGCGAACGUUAUUCGGAAUCACUGGGCUUAAAGGGCGCGUAGGCGGGCCCGCGAGUCAGGGGUGAAAUCCCACGGCCCAACCGUGGAAGUGCCUUUGAUACUGCGGGCCUCGAGGAGGGUAGGGGCGUGCGGAACUCAGGGUGGAGCGGUGAAAUGCGUAGAUAUCCUGAGGAACACCGGUGGCGAAAGCGGCGCGCUGGACCCCUUCUGACGCUGAGGCGCGAAAGCCAGGGGAGCAAACGGGAUUAGAAACCCUAGUAGUCC
RNAcentral lists this ribosomal RNA (292 nucleotides) under uncultured bacterium. RNAcentral's name for it is "partial 16S ribosomal RNA". It matches the Rfam family "Bacterial small subunit ribosomal RNA", at positions 505 to 796 of the family's 1533-position model. The record is from RNAcentral.